CCUACGGGAGGCAGCAGUGAGGAAUAUUGGUCAAUGGGCGAGAGCCUGAACCAGCCAAGUCGCGUGAAGGAUGAAGGAUCUAUGGUUUGUAAACUUCUUUUAUAUGGGAAUAAAGUGAGGAACGUGUUCCUUUUUGUAUGUACCAUAUGAAUAAGCAUCGGUUAACUCGGUGCCAGCCGCCGCGGUAAUACGGAGGAGGCGAGCGUUAUCCGGAUUUAUUGGGUUUAAAGGGUGCGUAGGUGGUUAAUUAAGUCAGCGGUGAAAGUUUGGGGCACAACCAUAAAAGUGCCGUUGAAACUGGUUGACUUGAGUAUAUUUGAGGUAGGCGGAAUGCGUGGUGUAGCGGUGAAAUGCAUAGCUAUCACGCAGAACUCCGAUUGCGAAGGCAGCUUACUAAACUAUAACUGACGCUGAAGCACGAAAGCGUGGGUAUCGAACAGGAUUAGAUACCCGGGUAGUC
Molecule: ribosomal RNA, 460 nt
Filed under: uncultured bacterium
Lineage: Bacteria
Description: partial 16S ribosomal RNA
Rfam family: Bacterial small subunit ribosomal RNA
Source: RNAcentral